CGACGGUAGGAACGGCCUCAUAAAGCAUUAUGGGGAAGUGAUCUCUCUCUUUCCGGUUGGUACUCCAUCAAGUGAGGCAUCAUGGGAGCGUACAAGUACAUGCAGGAGCUGUGGAGGAAGAAGCAGUCGGACGUGAUGAGGUUUCUGCUGCGCGUGCGGUGCUGGCAGUACCGCCAGCUGUCGGGCCUCCACCGGGCCCCGAGGCCCACCAGACCCGAUAAAGCCCGCCGGCUGGGAUA
Molecule: long non-coding RNA, 239 nt
Organism: Sinocyclocheilus grahami
Lineage: Eukaryota; Metazoa; Chordata; Actinopteri; Cypriniformes; Cyprinidae
Exons: 2
Source: RefSeq, a predicted model, not a curated record